RNAcentral lists this transfer-messenger RNA (392 nucleotides) under Clostridia bacterium. It matches the Rfam family "transfer-messenger RNA". Rfam says of the family: Bacterial tmRNA, also known as 10Sa RNA or SsrA, is named for its dual tRNA and mRNA-like properties. Its role is to liberate the mRNA from a stalled ribosome. Lineage: Bacteria; Bacillati; Bacillota; Clostridia. RNAcentral also lists the same sequence under 1 other name. The record is from RNAcentral.
GGGGGCGUUAUUGGUCUCGACGGGGAACAAUGCUUAAAAUGUAAAGCACGUGGUGGCUUGCCUUCACCUAAAAAGAGGCUAUUUGCAAAUAAACGCAAACGAAAACGUAGUUCGUAUGCCAAGCGUUGCUUGCGCAGCUUAAUCGAACAAAAAAAACUCGGUCAACAAUUUUUUGACCUAUCCACACCAUUCGCACCGGUUUGAAUGUGGAGAAUAAUUUGGUGCUCUGCAAGUUUUAACUGCCUUUGCUAAAACUUGUAACAAAUUAAAGGCUUGCCGAAAGAAAGUUGUUUAUGGCUAAACUUUCGGUGAAAAAUAAGCAUAAACUAAACGUGUAGAAAGAUUUUAAACAGGUUUUUCGGAAGAGGGUUCAAAUCCCUCCGUCUCCACCA